UACAAAGGGUGCGAGCGUUAAUCGGAAUUACUGGGCGUAAAGCGCACGUAGGCGGCUUGGCAUGUCGGGUGUGAAAUCCCCGUGCUCAACCUGGGAACUGCAUCCGAAACUGCCUUGCUAGAGUAUGGGAGAGGGAAGUGGAAUUUACGGUGUAGCGGUGAAAUGCGUAGAUAUCGGAAGGAACAUCAGUGGCGAAGGCGACUUCCUGGACCAAUACUGACGCUCAGGUGCGAAAGCGUGGGGAGCAAACAGG
RNAcentral lists this ribosomal RNA (253 nucleotides) under uncultured bacterium. Its description in RNAcentral is "partial 16S ribosomal RNA". It matches the Rfam family "Bacterial small subunit ribosomal RNA", at positions 524 to 776 of the family's 1533-position model. The record is from RNAcentral.